AUUCAUUUAGUAUAAUUAGUAUUUUAAGCUUCCAACUUAAAGGUUUUAAUAAAAUUGAAUA
Molecule: transfer RNA, 61 nt
Filed under: Tituria sagittata
Lineage: Eukaryota; Metazoa; Arthropoda; Insecta; Hemiptera; Cicadellidae
Description: tRNA-Gly
Source: RNAcentral